RNAcentral lists this ribosomal RNA (347 nucleotides) under uncultured bacterium. RNAcentral describes it as "partial 16S ribosomal RNA". It matches the Rfam family "Bacterial small subunit ribosomal RNA", at positions 338 to 699 of the family's 1533-position model. The record is from RNAcentral.
CCUACGGGAGGCAGCAGUGGGGAAUAUUGGGCAAUGGGCGCAAGCCUGACCCAGCAACGCCGCGUGAAGGAAGAAGGCUUUCGGGUUGUAAACUUCUUUUGUCAGGGACGAAGCAAGUGACGGUACCUGACGAAUAAGCCACGGCUAACUCCGUGCCAGCAGCCGCGGUAAUACGUAGGUGGCAAGCGUUAUCCGGAUUUACGGGGUGUAAAGGGCGUGUAGGCGGGACGGCAAGUCAGAUGGGAAAACCACGGGCUCAACCUGUUGCCGGCAUUUGAAACUGUAGUUCUUGAGUACUGGAGAGGCAGCCGGAAUUCCUCGUGUCGCGGUGAAAUGCGUAGAUAUUA